UAGUGGCGAACGGGUGAGUAACACGUGGGCAAUCUGCCCUUCACUCUGGGACAAGCCCUGGAAACGGUGGUCUAAUACCGGAUAACACCUGCCCGGGCAUCUGGGUGGGUUAAAAGCUCCGGCGGUGAAGGAUGAGCCCGCGGCCUAUCAGCUUGUUGGUGAGGUAGUGGCUCACCAAGGCGACGACGGGUAGCCGGCCUGAGAGGGCGACCGGCCACACUGGGACUGAGACACGGCCCAGACUCCUACGGGAGGCAGCAGUGGGGAAUAUUGCACAAUGGGCGAAAGCCUGAUGCAGCGACGCCGCGUGAGGGAUGACGGCCUUCGGGUUGUAAACCUCUUUCAGCAGGGAAGAAGCGAAAGUGACGGUACCUGCAGAAGAAGCGCCGGCUAACUACGUGCCAGCAGCCGCGNUAAUACGUAGGGCGCAAGCGUUGUCCGGAAUUAUUGGGCGUAAAGAGCUCGUAGGCGGCUUGUCACGUCGGGUGUGAAAGCCCGGNGCUUAACCCCGGGUCUGCAUUCGAUACGGGCUAGCUAGAGUGUGGNAGGGGAGAUCGGAAUUCCU
Molecule: ribosomal RNA, 565 nt
Filed under: Streptomyces sp. 319E03
Lineage: Bacteria; Bacillati; Actinomycetota; Actinomycetes; Kitasatosporales; Streptomycetaceae
Description: bacterial SSU rRNA
Rfam family: Bacterial small subunit ribosomal RNA
Source: RNAcentral